RNAcentral lists this ribosomal RNA (349 nucleotides) under uncultured bacterium. RNAcentral describes it as "bacterial SSU rRNA". It matches the Rfam family "Bacterial small subunit ribosomal RNA", at positions 355 to 721 of the family's 1533-position model. The record is from RNAcentral.
UGGGGAAUAUUGGACAAUGGGGGAAACCCUGAUCCAGCAAUGCCGCGUGAGUGAAGAAGGCCUUAGGGUUGUAAAGCUCUUUCGCCCGCGAAGAUAAUGACGGUAGCGGGCGAAGAAGCCCCGGCUAACUCCGUGCCAGCAGCCGCGGUAAUACGGAGGGGGCUAGCGUUGUUCGGAAUUACUGGGCGUAAAGCGUCCGUAGGCGGAUGCGCAAGUUGGGGGUGAAAUCCCGGGGCUUAACCUCGGAAUUGCCCUCAAAACUGCACGUCUUGAGACCGAGAGAGGUAAGGGGAGUUCCUAGUGUAGAGGUGAAAUUCGUAGAUAUUAGGAAGAACACCAGUGGCGAAGG